RNAcentral lists this ribosomal RNA (471 nucleotides) under uncultured bacterium. RNAcentral describes it as "bacterial SSU rRNA". It matches the Rfam family "Bacterial small subunit ribosomal RNA", at positions 28 to 474 of the family's 1533-position model. The record is from RNAcentral.
GACGAACGCUGGCGGCGUGCCUAACACAUGCAAGUCGAACGGAGAAUUUUAUUUCGGUAGAAUUCUUAGUGGCGAACGGGUGAGUAACGCGUAGGCAACCUACCCUUUAGACGGGGACAACAUUCCGAAAGGAGUGCUAAUACCGGAUGUGAUCAUCUUGCCGCAUGGCAGGAUGAAGAAAGAUGGCCUCUACAAGUAAGCUAUCGCUAAAGGAUGGGCCUGCGUCUGAUUAGCUAGUUGGUAGUGUAACGGACUACCAAGGCGAUGAUCAGUAGCCGGUCUGAGAGGAUGAACGGCCACAUUGGGACUGAGACACGGCCCAAACUCCUACGGGAGGCAGCAGUGGGGAAUCUUCCGCAAUGGACGAAAGUCUGACGGAGCAACGCCGCGUGAGUGAUGAAGGAUUUCGGUCUGUAAAGCUCUGUUGUUUAUGACGAACGUGCAGUGUGUGAACAAUGCAUUGCAAUGACG